GACAGAGGGUGCAAACGUUGCUCGGAAUCACUGGGCGUAAAGGGCGUGUAGGCGGGAAGGAAAGUCGGGCGUGAAAUCCCUGGGCUCAACCCAGGAACUGCACUCGAAACUUCUUUUCUUGAGUGCCGGAGAGGAAAGCGGAAUUCCUGGUGUAGAGGUGAAAUUCGUAGAUAUCAGGAGGAACACCAGUGGCGAAGGCGGCUUUCUGGGACGGUAA
This 217-nucleotide ribosomal RNA is filed under the name uncultured bacterium. RNAcentral's name for it is "partial 16S ribosomal RNA". It matches the Rfam family "Bacterial small subunit ribosomal RNA", at positions 524 to 739 of the family's 1533-position model. The record is from RNAcentral.